CAUACACGCGCGCGCGCAAAUAUUUACUCUCUGCCACAUCGAAUAAAUCCAGGCACAUUUUCCUGCAAAUACUCUAGCGCGCGCACACGUACUUAGCUGGCGGCCACGUCCUCUGUCUCUCACUGACAAAUACAGACAUUUACCCACGUAGGCCAGGAGAGCGCUAACCACGGUCCUGUGACUCCACGCAGGUUCCUGGGACACGCCUUUUACAUUGUUACUGAACCGAUCAGCGAACACGGACAAACCUGCCAACACUUAAGUCUACUCGCUGGAUUUCAUCUCCAUGGCAACAAGCAUGGAAGUAAACAAGAUAUUAAGAUGAUGUUUUCCUUCUGAGGCCAAGAGGUGACUCCAGCAGGAAUUCUGAAGAGCCA
Long non-coding RNA from Zalophus californianus (California sea lion), 377 nucleotides. The record is from Ensembl. NCBI's taxonomy places the organism in Eukaryota, Metazoa, Chordata, Mammalia, Carnivora, Otariidae.